GGACUCUUGAGAUCUUAGGAUUCAGAUGCUUGACGCAUCUAUAUUAGAAUGUGUUGAACAUAAAACAUACUGUUGUAUGUAUAGUUGACCCUCGAGGCGCAGUGCUUGACGCUAUUUACUCAACCAAUCUACUCAAAAAGUUUGGCUGAAUGCUGGUAUCUAUCAAAAUGAAGUAGAUAUUUACCCAGCACAAAUAAACUCCAUGCCUCUCCCGCUGUUGCAGACGGAAAGUUGCAUACAGGGCGGUGCGCCGAUUUGUCUCCCCCUAUUGAUUGG
RNAcentral lists this small RNA (276 nucleotides) under Histoplasma capsulatum. RNAcentral's name for it is "hypothetical RNA". RNAcentral also lists the same sequence under 1 other name. The record is from RNAcentral. Lineage: Eukaryota; Fungi; Ascomycota; Eurotiomycetes; Onygenales; Ajellomycetaceae.